Molecule: unclassified non-coding RNA, 330 nt
Filed under: uncultured fungus
Lineage: Eukaryota; Fungi
Description: partial contains 5.8S ribosomal RNA, internal transcribed spacer 2, and large subunit ribosomal RNA
Source: RNAcentral
AACGCACAUUGCGCUCCUUUGGAUUUAUCCUGGGAGCAUGCCUGUUUGACAACAUUGUAUAAGAUCUUUUGGAAAAUAUUUUUUAUUUUAGCCAAUUUGAUCAAAUCUUUGUGAUUCAUUUCCCAUUUUUUUUGGGGGAGUCUCACGUAACACAAUUGAAAGUCUAGAAAACUUAUUGCUUGAUGAUGUAAUAGUAACCUUUUAUCAUUGUCGCAUAUUCUAUGUCAACAUUUCAACUAUCAGUCUUUUUUAAGAUUUGAUUGUAGUUUUUUCAAUAAAACUAACUCACAAGUUGUUGUCAAAUCAGGUAGGAUUACCCGCUGAACUUAA